RNAcentral lists this ribosomal RNA (239 nucleotides) under uncultured bacterium. RNAcentral's name for it is "partial 16S ribosomal RNA". It matches the Rfam family "Bacterial small subunit ribosomal RNA", at positions 100 to 334 of the family's 1533-position model. The record is from RNAcentral.
CGGAACGGGUGAGUAACGCGUGAGGAACCUGCCUCAAAGAGGGGGACAACAGUUGGAAACGACUGCUAAUACCGCAUAAGCCCACCGGUGCCGCAUGGCACAGAGGGAAAAGGAGCAAUCCGCUUUGAGAUGGCCUCGCGUCCGAUUAGCUAGUUGGUGAGGUAACGGCCCACCAAGGCGACGAUCGGUAGCCGGACUGAGAGGUUGAACGGCCACAUUGGGACUGAGACACGGCCCAG